This 253-nucleotide non-coding RNA is filed under the name Proteiniclasticum ruminis. Its description in RNAcentral is "T-box sequence". It matches the Rfam family "T-box leader". From Rfam's summary of the family: Uncharged tRNA acts as the effector for transcription antitermination of genes in the T-box leader family. T-boxes are found upstream of many aminoacyl-tRNA synthetase genes and some amino acid biosynthetic genes usually in Gram-positive bacteria. The record is from RNAcentral. Lineage: Bacteria; Bacillati; Bacillota; Clostridia; Eubacteriales; Clostridiaceae.
UUAACUGCGUUGAAAAGAAAUAGUAUCUUAUGCAAAGCUAUCAGAGAGUUUUUGGUUGGUGUGAAAAAACAGUGGCGCAUUUGGGAACACAUCUUUGAGCUGUACCUGCAAAAUUUCUAAAGAAAGAGUAGUGGGUGCCGGGAAUCCUUGUCAUCCGUUACCAAGACUAGAGUAUGAUUGUACUCGAUGAGGUCAGGCGCCGUGAGGUGUUUGAUGAAAUAAGGUGGAACCACGAAGAGAUAUCGUCCUUAGU